RNAcentral lists this ribosomal RNA (253 nucleotides) under uncultured bacterium. Its description in RNAcentral is "partial 16S ribosomal RNA". It matches the Rfam family "Bacterial small subunit ribosomal RNA", at positions 524 to 776 of the family's 1533-position model. The record is from RNAcentral.
UACGUAGGGGGCGAGCGUUGUCCGGAAUCAUUGGGCGUAAAGAGCGUGUAGGCGGCUUGGCAAGUCUGACGUGAAAGCCCGCGGCUCAACCGCGGAUUGUCGUUGGAAACUGCCUCGCUAGAGUCCGGAAGAGGAGAGCGGAAUUCCUGGUGUAGCGGUGGAAUGCGCAGAUAUCAGGAAGAACACCCGUGGCGAAGGCGGCUCUCUGGGACGGUACCGACGCUGAGACGCGAAAGCGUGGGGAGCGAACAGG